RNAcentral lists this transfer-messenger RNA (416 nucleotides) under Patescibacteria group. RNAcentral describes it as "RBG-16-42-10 sp001773455 Standard tmRNA". It matches the Rfam family "transfer-messenger RNA". From Rfam's summary of the family: Bacterial tmRNA, also known as 10Sa RNA or SsrA, is named for its dual tRNA and mRNA-like properties. Its role is to liberate the mRNA from a stalled ribosome. To accomplish this part of the tmRNA is used as a reading frame that ends in a translation stop signal. The record is from RNAcentral. RNAcentral also lists the same sequence under 1 other name.
GGGGAUGAUCGGUUUUGCUAAGAAGAUAUUUUGAUCUACUUGCUUUUACGGGACCCCUAUACUCCCGGUAGAUCCGUGUAGGGACAAACAAUUGCAGCUAAAUUAGCUCGUGCUCGUAGUUUUGAGUUGGCCUCAUGUGGUAACACACUUGCGAUCGCUUAAAGUUAUGGGUUUCCCUGUACCAUUUGGCGCAGGGCAGUAAAUAAGACCCUUGUGCAUAUCAAAGACUUAUUUGCUGUCACCUUCUGAUAUGACUCUUGAGGAAACCUUUCCGCACUCAAGAAAAUUAGGAAAGACCGGAAAAGAAGCUUUUUGUUUAUUUUUUAUUUCUUUUUCGUCACUCAAAAUAAACUACAAAUGUAGACGGUAAUUAAGAUUCUUUUUAUACGGCAGUUCGAUUCUGCCCAUCUCCACCA